CCUGCUCGUUGUUAACACAAUCAGAUAACAUGUACUGCUCUCCUCGGUUUCUGAAUCUUCAUACAGCUCAGCAUGCAGGUGCGCUCCCAUUUAAUCUUUUCUUGCAUUCUGAUCUUGCUUCGAGUGUAGCAGCUCCUUUUAAUGCUUCAACAAGUUCAUCAACACUUAAUCAAUCAGACAAAGAUAACUGACACUGCUAGUAUAAGGAGCAAUAUCUACUGGGCUCCUAGCUACAAGCACAGGAUCGGAGGAGGAUGGUUUAGAGUUUUACAUGUUGCAGCUGAAGCUGUGAGCGUCAAGAUGUCGCUUG
Juglans regia (Persian walnut) is the source of this 310-nucleotide long non-coding RNA. RefSeq lists it as uncharacterized. The transcript has 3 exons. The record is from RefSeq and is a predicted model, not a curated record. Lineage: Eukaryota; Viridiplantae; Streptophyta; Magnoliopsida; Fagales; Juglandaceae.